GAUGAACGCUGGCGGCGUGCCUAAUACAUGCAAGUCGAGCGAACAGACGAGGGGCUUGCUCCUUUGACGUUAGCGGCGGACGGGUGAGUAACACGUAGGUAACCUACCUAUAAGACUGGGAUAACUUCGGGAAACCGGAGCUAAUACCGGAUAAUAUUUCGAACCGCAUGGUUCGAUAGUGAAAGAUGGCUUUGCUAUCACUUAUAGAUGGACCUGCGCCGUAUUAGCUAGUUGGUAAGGUAACGGCUUACCAAGGCAACGAUACGUAGCCGACCUGAGAGGGUGAUCGGCCACACUGGAACUGAGACACGGUCCAGACUCCUACGGGAGGCAGCAGUAGGGAAUCUUCCGCAAUGGGCGAAAGCCUGACGGAGCAACGCCGCGUGAGUGAUGAAGGUCUUCGGAUCGUAAAACUCUGUUAUUAGGGAAGAACAAACGUGUAAGUAACUGUGCACGUCUUGACGGUACCUAAUCAGAAAGCCACGGCUAACUACGUG
This 497-nucleotide ribosomal RNA is filed under the name uncultured bacterium. RNAcentral's name for it is "partial 16S ribosomal RNA". It matches the Rfam family "Bacterial small subunit ribosomal RNA", at positions 28 to 507 of the family's 1533-position model. The record is from RNAcentral.